RNAcentral lists this non-coding RNA (79 nucleotides) under uncultured Levilactobacillus sp. Lineage: Bacteria; Bacillati; Bacillota; Bacilli; Lactobacillales; Lactobacillaceae. The record is from RNAcentral.
AACCUAGCCAGUGAUGGUUAAUUAAGUAUAUCAGGAGUCAGCCGAGGCCAUAGUAGCUCACCAUAUAGCGAGCAAAGGA